This 468-nucleotide ribosomal RNA is filed under the name uncultured bacterium. Its description in RNAcentral is "partial 16S ribosomal RNA". It matches the Rfam family "Bacterial small subunit ribosomal RNA", at positions 28 to 507 of the family's 1533-position model. The record is from RNAcentral.
GACGAACGCUGGCGGCGUGCUUAACACAUGCAAGUCGAACGGAAAGGCCCUGCUUUUGUGGGGUGCUCGAGUGGCGAACGGGUGAGUAACACGUGUGUAACCUGCCCUAGACUUUGGGGUAACUUCAGGAAACUGGGGCUACUACCGGAUAGGAGCCCCUGCUGCAUGGUGGGGGUUGGAAAGUUUCGGCGGGUGGGGAUGGACUCGCGGCUUAUCAGCUUGUUGGUGGGGUAGUGGCUUACCAAGGCUUUGACGGGUAGCCGGCCUGAGAGGGGGACCGGCCACAUUGGGACUGAGAUACGGCGCAGACUCCUACGUGAGGCAGCAGUGGGGAAUAUUGCACAAUGGGCGGAAGCCUGAUGCAGCAACGCCGCGUGCGGGAUGACGGCCUUCGGGGUGUAAACCGCUUUCGCCUGUGACGAAGCGGGAGUGACGGUAAUGGGUAAAGAAGCACCGGCUAACUACGUG